Brachypodium distachyon (stiff brome) is the source of this 130-nucleotide non-coding RNA. Lineage: Eukaryota; Viridiplantae; Streptophyta; Magnoliopsida; Poales; Poaceae. The record is from Rfam.
CAAAUACUCCCUCCGUUCCAUAAUUCUUGUCGAAAUAUUACAUGUAUCUAGACGCUUCUUGGGAAUAGAUACAUCCAUUUUUGAGCAAAUUUGAGACAAGAAUUAUGGAACGGAGGGAAGGGAGUACAAA